Molecule: transfer RNA, 65 nt
Filed under: Hemitheconyx caudicinctus (African fat-tailed gecko)
Lineage: Eukaryota; Metazoa; Chordata; Lepidosauria; Squamata; Eublepharidae
Description: tRNA-Lys
Source: RNAcentral
UUCUUAGAAGCUUGCAGUAGCACUAGCCUUUUAAGCUAGACAAGUACACUUCAGUACCUAAGAAU